Molecule: small nuclear RNA, 109 nt
Organism: Schistocerca gregaria
Lineage: Eukaryota; Metazoa; Arthropoda; Insecta; Orthoptera; Acrididae
Source: RefSeq, a predicted model, not a curated record
AUGUCCUCGCCUCGGCGGUAUAUACAGUAAAAUUCAAAUGAUACAGUGAAAAUUAGUAUGUCCCCUGAGCAAGAAUUACGUGCAAAAUCGUGAAGUGUUCCACGUUUUC